CUAUAACAGCAGCUCCAACAACAACAUCUGCUCCCACAACUACCACCACAGCUACAACUACCACAGUAGUGCUCACAACAACAUCUGCUCCAACAACUACCACAGCAGCUCCAACAACAACAUCUCCUUCCACAACUACCACCACAGCUACAACUACCACAGUAGGGCCCACAACAACAUCUGCUCCAACAACUGCCACAGCAGCUCCAACAACAACAUCCGCUCCCACAACUACCGCCACAGCUACAACUACCACAGUAGUACCAACAACAACGUCUGCUCCCACAACUACCACCACAGCUACAACUACCACAGUAGUACCCACAACAACAUCUGCUCCAACAACUACCACAGCAGCUCCAACAACAACAUCUCCUUCCACAAGUACCACCACAGCUACAACUACCACAGUAGUGCCCACAACAACAUCUGCUCCAACAACUACCACAGCAGCUCCAACAACAACAUCCGCUCCCACAACUACCGCCACAGCAAUAACUACCACAGUAGUACCCACAACAACAUCUGCUCCAACAACUAACACAGCAGCUCCAACAACAAAAUCCGCUCCCACAACUACCGUCACAGCUACAACUACCACAGCAGCUCCAACAACAACAUCCGCUCCCACAACUACCGCCACAGCUACAACUACCACAGUAGUGCCCACAACAACAUCUGCUCCAACAACUGCCACAGCAUCUCCAACAACAACAUCCGCUCCCACAACUACCGCCACAGCUACAACUACCACAGUAGUACCAACAACAACGUCUGCUCCCACAACUACCACCACAGCUACAACUACCACAGUAGUGCCCACAACAACAACUGCUCCAACAACUGCCACAGCAGCUCCAACAACAACAUCCGCUCCCACAACUACCGCCACAGCUACAACUACCACAGUAGUGCCCACAACAACAUCUGCUCCAACAACUACCACAGCAGCUCCAACAACAACAUCCGCUCCCACAACUACCGCCACAGCUACAACUACCACAGUAGUACCAACAACAACGUCUGCUCCCACAACUACCACAGCAGCUCCAACAACAACAUCCGCUUCCACAACUACCGCCACAGCUACAACUACCACAGUAGUGCCCACAACAACAUCUGCUCCAACAACUACCACAGCAGCUCCAACAACAACAUCCGCUCCCACAACUACCGCCACAGCUACAACUACCACAGUAGUACCAACAACAACAUCUGCUCCCACAACUACCACCACAGCUACAACUACUAUAGUAGUACCCACAACAACAUCUGCUCCAACAACUACCACAGCAGUUCCAACAAAUACCACAGCACCUCCAACAACCGCUCUAAGUAGUCCCACACCUGCUCUAACUAACACAACAACAGGAAAAACAACCACAUCUGCAGCCACAACCACCGGACCUCUGACAAUUAGAUAUGUUGUUUUCAGAUCCAUUCAAAGCAAUUUUACAGCAGACUUGUUGAAUUCAUCAUCUGAAGUUUUUCAAACUCGAUCUUCAUCAAUAAAGGUGCAGAUUGAACCUGCUUACAAAAACUCGUUCCCUUCUUCCUUUGUCUCCUUGGCUGUUGUGAGCUUCAGGCAAGGAUCAGUCAUCAACACCAUAGAACUUAAGUUUGUAAACUCAUCUGCUCCAAAUUACACUGAAAUUAGAAAUGUUUUGAUCAGUACAGCAUCAAACGUGACAGGCUUUGACAUCGAAAGGGCCUCCAUCACUGUCAGUGCCACAUUGAUCCCAACAACAAACACAACAACAUCAGGGACUACAGCUACUCCAACAACUAUCGCAAUUACAAAAGCUCCGACUGCACCUGUCCAAGUUUUUCUGUUUCUACAGUUCCUUGAACCAUAUGUACCUGAACUCACAGACCCCACCAGCAGUGUAUAUCAAGAUCGCAAAAUACGAGUUGAAGAGACGUGUGAUAGAAUCUACAAAUCAAAAUUUAUUUUCUUCAUCCGUGCCAUUGUCAUUCGGUUCAGUCUUUUUAGAGUCCAAACACGAGUGGAUAGAACUGAGACACAGGUGGAGCUUGUGUUCAAUCAAACAGCACCCAAUGCACAAGUCCCAAAUAAUACUACUAUUAUUCAAACUAUGAAAAAGGCUAUUAACAGUUCCAGCAGCAAUUUCAGUAUUGCCAUAGUUCCUGACACUAUAUCAGUAACUUCUGUCAGUGUUACACCUGCUACACCAACUCCUAAUUGCACUAUGACAUCAACUGCUACCCCUUCAAAACCAGCAUCAAUAACUGUGACAACUACGACCAUAAUUUCUACGACAACAGAAAAAACUAUUCAAACAACAACUGCAGUGACCGUGAAAUCUGCUACAACUAAUACUUCAGCAACAACAGUACUUGAACCAGCCACUUUUGUGGCUACUAUGGCACAGGCUCCUACAGCAACCACCAUGGUGUCAUACACAUCUACAACAACAAUAGUGGAAAGUGCAAGACUUCCUUCUUCAGCAGCUACUGCAGAAACAACAAUCACUGUGAGAACGACAACAACUAUUGAAGCACGUAUAUCUGGAAACACAUCUUCAGGAGGAUUGAGCCACAAGACAAGUCUCUACACUGCUUCCUGCCUCAUGUUGUUGACAUGGCUAUUUGCAAACCAUCAAUAGCUAAUUUACAUUUGAAAUACAAGUGCAGGAAAACAAUUACAUUUAUUCCAUUGUUAUCAAAAAUGCAGCAUCCUUGAAUGGCUUAACUGUUGCGUGAAACAUCAUGAAAAUCUAGCCUUGCAUUAACAGACACAGUGGUAUAUCUGGGGGGCAUUUCUGUCUUUUAUUCCCGUAUUUUAAAAUUACCAUUACCUAUGUUUAAGUGCAGUUCAUCUUUGUUUUGGAAAAUGUAAACUGUGAUGCUUAUGAAACAGACAGUUGUUACUCUAACUAAUAAAAGUCCUUCUCUCAUUUGAUGAACCAAAAGAUGAUUUAAAUUAGACAGCAUUCAAAAACGUCGUUAUUUUCACCGUAAAUGCUUAGUUACAGUAUAUUAAAAUUAAUGGAGAGUUUUCCCCCAACUGAUGUAUUAAAAGCUACCAUGGGAUGACUCUUACGGCACACAAAAAUGAAAUUUCCUGCUCCUCACUUCAUAGAAAAAUAAUCACCAAAGCAAUGGAGGUCUUAUCUUUGUAAAUUCACGUCUGACAAGUUGUUAUCAUAGCAUAGUGAUAUUUGACUCCUGUCUGGGCCUUGACUCCCAUGUAAAAUCUUUGUGUCGUUCCUGUUUCUAUCAUUUAAGAAACAUCUUUAAACUGCGACAUGUGGUCUAUUCAGCUGAACUGGAAAAACUCAUUCAUGCAUUUGUGUCAUCACGCUUAGAUUACUGUAAGUCCCUGUUUACUACCUUGGAUAUCUCUCUCUCGCCUCCAGGCAAUACAAAACGCAGCAGCCAGACAAACUCGUUCUAUCAAGCGUGUUCACAUUACUCCGGUCUUAUAUUCUUUACAUUGGCUUCCAAUAGAGUUUAGAAUUCGCUUUAAAAUUCUUGUUUUAACAUACAGAGCACUAAAUGGCCAGGCCCCAGAUUAUUUAUCCAAGCUUCUUAAAAAAAUAAAGUAAAAUAAAAAUAAAAAUACACUGCUGCUCGUCAUCUCCGCUCACAGACUCAGAGUCUGUUGGUUGUUCCCCGUACACGAAUGAAGACAAAAGGGGACAGAGCCUUUCAGUCUGUUGCACCAAGGCUGUGGAAUAGUUUACCGCUACAAUUAUGUUUGCUUGACUCUGUGGAUUGUUUUAAAAAGCAGUUAAAAACAUUUAUGUUCAAACAAGCCUUUUGCUGAUCUAUGUAUUUUAUAUUCUUUACAUUCUUUACAUUUGAUCUUUUACAUUGUGUAUAAUGUCUAUUGAUUGUAUUGUUUAUUUUAAUAUUUGUGUACAGCACUUUGUGACUGCCUGUCUGUGAAAAGCGCUUAAUAAAUAAACUUUACUUACUUACUACUUACUUACAUA
This is a long non-coding RNA of Astatotilapia calliptera (eastern happy), 3959 nucleotides long. The record is from Ensembl. Lineage: Eukaryota; Metazoa; Chordata; Actinopteri; Cichliformes; Cichlidae.